This 171-nucleotide ribosomal RNA is filed under the name uncultured bacterium. RNAcentral's name for it is "partial 16S ribosomal RNA". It matches the Rfam family "Bacterial small subunit ribosomal RNA", at positions 340 to 524 of the family's 1533-position model. The record is from RNAcentral.
UACGGAGGCAGCAGUGGGGAAUCUUGCACAAUGGGCGAAAGCCUGAUGCAGCGACGCCGCGUGCGGGACGAAGGCCUUCGGGUUGUAAACCGCUUUCAGCAGGGACGAGGCGAAAGUGACGGUACCUGCAGAAGAAGCCCCGGCUAACUACGUGCCAGCAGCCGCGGUAAU